This 253-nucleotide ribosomal RNA is filed under the name uncultured bacterium. RNAcentral describes it as "partial 16S ribosomal RNA". It matches the Rfam family "Bacterial small subunit ribosomal RNA", at positions 524 to 776 of the family's 1533-position model. The record is from RNAcentral.
UACGUAGGGGGCAAGCGUUAUCCGGAUUUACUGGGUGUAAAGGGAGCGUAGACGGCAAAGCAAGUCCGGAGUGAAAGCCCGGGGCCCAACCCCGGGACUGCUCUGGAAACUGUUAAGCUGGAGUGCGGGAGGGGCAGGCGGAAUUCCUGGUGUAGCGGUGAAAUGCGUAGAUAUCAGGAGGAACACCGGCGGCGAAGGCGGCCUGCUGGACCGUGACUGACGUUGGGGCUCGAAAGCGUGGGGAGCAAACAGG